This 4738-nucleotide long non-coding RNA is filed under the name Sus scrofa (pig). RNAcentral describes it as "lncRNA (ENSSSCG00065063760.1)". The record is from RNAcentral. Lineage: Eukaryota; Metazoa; Chordata; Mammalia; Artiodactyla; Suidae.
GCCGUGGAAGAACUCCAUUCAGAGGCAGUCGUGAUAAACCAGAGCAUCAGCCCUUUCCGCUGGGAUACCAAUAAGUCUUGAACUUCAAAACUGCUGACCUAAAAAGGAUACUUGAGAAGAAGCAAGUCUUUCCUUUUUUCUUUUAAAGAAAGCAACACCAGAAGCAGUCGAACUUCCUUGUUCACUUAGGUGCAUGCAAAAAAGAAAAGUUUACUCUGCUUCAGGACCCUCUCUUACCCCUCAUGGCGUGAGCCUGAAGCCUGUCCACUGAGGAGCGUUCUAAGAACUUCCAGAUCAUUCCAUGGAACUACAGCAGAAAGGACCCGAGGUGAGAAGAGGGACUGUGUGAACUUGACUCUGUAUAAGCCAAGUAAUUGUCUCAGUUUCCUCAUCUGUAAGAUGUGCAUAUAAUACCUGCCUCAUAAAGAUAUUCUGAGAACUUGAUGGGCGUGUGUAUGUGAGACUCCUAAUACAUCACCCAGCACCGAAAAGGUGUUCCCGCGAUAAUGAAAUUCAAUGCAUUGAAUUUAGUUCCCGACUAUCAAAACCUAGAUGGGAGUUCCCAUUGUGGCUCAGCAGGUGAAGGACCCGAUGUUGUCUCCGUGAGGAUGCAGGUUUGAUCCCUGGCCUCGCUCCAUGGGUUAAGGAUCCAGGGCUGCGUGAGCUGUGGUGUAGGUGGAAGACGCGGCUGGGAUCCCGUGUGCUGCUGUGGCUGUGGCAUAGGACGGCAGCUGUAGCUCCAAUUUGGCUCCUAGCCCAGGAACCUCCGUAUGCCGGGGGUGCAGCCAUUACAGAGGAAGGAAGGAAGGAGGGAACACCUGGAUGGUUUUCUUUUAAGGACCUGGAUUCUUUGGGUCUCUAGCACCCAAAGACGUUCAGCCCCACGAUGCUGAGGGUGAAAUGGUGAACAGGAAGCCCCCCAGCGGUUCCUCCCUAAAACCUCAUGAGGGACCACCCACGAAGGGUCCCAGCACACCUGCGCUGCCUCAGAAGAUGGUCCCAGGUAAAGAGGUCACUCUUGCCACCCAAAGAAGCUGAGUAUUGUCUCGUCGGACGCAAAUGGGCAGAAGCCAAAUGCAACUGACCAGCACCAUGGGUCUGCAGACUUUCUGGGAGGAAACCCUUUGCAAAGCCGGAGUCAGGAGUCACGGGCAGAGAGCAGACCUCCUCAGAGACACUAUUACGGACUGUUUAGUGCGUGAAGUGACAUUUGAACCAAUCCCAUGGAGAGUCAUAACGCUGCCGGAGGUUUGUGCCAAGGACCUACGUGGAAUAUGCUCAGGAAAAUCGCCGGAACUUGAAAACCCAAAAUGUAGAAGACUUCAGACCAGACCAGAACAUUCUCUUAGCCAACCCUGGCUAAGAGUUUUUCUCAAUCUUUAGGGAGGAGAAUGUGGGAGGUUAAGCCAGAACUCCUUCGUAUAUCCUUCUGCACCAUGUGUGGCAUAAAAUUAUAAGUUAGCUGGGAGUAGCUGGAUUGGCCUUAUGUCCUCACGUGGGUUCAGGCAUUCUCGAUACUUCCUUUUGUUCGCUCUCUUCCUCGAGUCCUGGGUCACAGACAGCCGCCAGCUCUUAUUAUAGCCAGAUACCCAGGGUGGACCCCUUCUAACUCUUGCAGUUAGAGUCCUGGUGCCCGGAGUUUCCAGGUAAGCAGCAACCCUCACACAGUGUUGUCUGGGUGUGCGGCCUGUAGUAAUAGCGCACCACGCCCUGAAAGACAAUAUGCCAGAAUAUUAAACUAUCCUUCUACGGGCACCAUGUCACGUAGGACGCGAACGGCGCGGCACAAGCCGGUCCCUCUGAAGAUGUCAGGCUCCAGAGGGGCUCAGUCCGACCGAGUCCCUGCCUUCCUAUUGCUCUCAGCUUUCUCAGGCUGGUUUCUAUAUUUUGUCCUCAGGUCUGUCCCCGCCUGGAGUGACAGCAUGGUGGAGGGGACGGAUGGAGGGGCUCUGGCCUCGGGCGGAAGGGAGGGCACAUCCCACGGCUGUCUCCUUGAAUGGCUGCCUCCUCAUCCUGUGACUUAACUUUUCUGGGUCUGGGCUGCCGGCCUGGUCCAUAGGAGCUGCUCCCAGCUGUGAGCGGCUGCCCUUCGCCCCGCCCUGUGUCACCCACCCUCGUGUCACCCACCGUCUCGUUUCCCCCAUGCUGAUCCUUAAUUCAUUCUCUCAUUCUUUCUAAUCCCAGAACCGGCUCCAAGGCCUUGAGCUCUUACUCUGGUAAACACUCUUACCCCUAGACACUCCCAUUCCCUCACACGCUGACUCACCAUAAACAACCUCUGAGAGUCCCGAAACGUCCAGCUCNUUUUUUUUUUUUUUUUUUUUCUUUUUUUCUUUUUAGGGCCACCGCCAUGGCAUAUGGAAGUUCCCAGGCUAGGGGUGGAAUCAGAGCUACAACUGCCGGCCUUCGCCCCACCCACAGCAAUGCUGAAUCCAAGCCGCAUCUGUGAUGUACACCAAGCUCACGGCAAUGCCAGAUCCUUCAUCCACGGAGCUCGGCCAGGGAUUGAACCUGCGUCCUCAGGGGUACGAGUCCAGUGUGUAAUCCACUGAGCCACCAAGGGAACUCCCAUCUCCGCUGCCUUCACACACCCCCGCCCCUCGCCCGUUAUUCACCCCCCCUUUUGGCCACACCCACAGCAUGCAGAAGUUCCCGGGCCAGGGGUCAAGCCUGCCCCACAGCAGCGACUCAAGCCCCCGCAGUGACGGCGCGGGAUCCUUAAUCACAGGGUCACCAGCGAAUGGCUCUUCCUCCCUCUUUAGCAGAAGUGCGACUGGGCCCUUCGUUUCGGGGCUGUCCCCAGGGCCUCCCAGGGAUGCGGCCGCUGGCCCAGAUCUCCGUGUUCUCUCAUCUGGCUCCUGGGGGGCCCCAGACCUUUCCCAACCCACUUCCCAGGCUUUGUUUCGUGUUCCCACCCUCUGUGUGUGAGAAGGACAGCACGUGUGCUUUCUCUGCUAAAUGCCAGGGCCGCUUCUCAACCCAGACCCCGCCGCCCAUUUGUCGCCGGCGGCCCAGCAGGACGGGCCGGCCCCUACGUGCGCUCCGGCCCGCCCCUCCUUCCGCCUCAGCAUCCUGCUCGGAACUUUCUCCCGAGGAGAUGCUGUCCAUUAACUCGGACUGAACCCCGGUCUCACGGCUACGUGUCCAAAUGAAAGGGCCGUCGAGUCCGCGAGGAUCUCCCCGCUUCCUGCCAGGAAGAGGUCAGUCUCUUCUUCGCCUUGGACCCGGAGUCGCCUUCCUCCGGGAAGUGGGCGUUGCCGAUUUUACACCGUGGCCGAGGGACCAGUUCAGUCCUGGAGUUUUUACUGGGGACGCUGACUGGGGGGUUUCGACACGUGGUCAGAGGCAGGCUGUCUGCCCUCGGCCCUGCGCCCGUAACUACGUCUGGUUCACGUGCGCACCGUUCAUGCCGUUUGUGGAGCGCGUGUCUCUGAUGUGCGGUCUCCUCUCACCGAUGCCGCUGAGGACAAAGCCGUCUGCAGAGUUUAUUUGUUCUCUCUUAGGCUAAAAACAAAACCAUGGGACUGUGUGUGACCCAGGCCUGCCCUGACACUUGGAUGGGCUCUUGGUCCCCUGCAGAGAGCCCUGGUGGACCCCCUGGGGGUAUCUGAGGGGGGCCCCUUCAUCCAACCCAGGGCCCGGCGCCCUGCAGCUUUGAAAGAGGGAGCUGAGGCCCGCCGCUGUUUGCUGAUCAGAGAUGCAGGAGAGCAGCUCGUUUAUCUCCACUCCGCUCACAGACAUCUCUGGACACAUACGGUUGCUGUUUUGUUUGGACUCAUUUAGAUUUUUUCCCCCUAAUGGUUAAGAGAGAAAACAAGCUUUAAAGAUGACUUAAUCGUUGUCCCAUGUUACUUCAUGGGACAUCACCAGCCUCCCCAGAGUGCCGGGUCGGAGCAGGGCUGGUGCCUCUGGGAGAAGAUCUGGAAUUUGGAAACUUCCAGGCUGGGGGAACAGACCCUGAAGGACGGUGAGUGGGACUUUGGUUUCCCAUCUGCAAAAAUGGGAGUUACUCUCUUCUGGCUGCCAGGCUUUUACAUAAGGAAGAAACAUGAGAGUUCCCGUUGUGGUUCAGCGGGUUUAAGAACCCGACUGGUAUCCAUGAGGAUGUGGGUUCGAUCCCUGGCCUCACUCAUGGGUUCAGGAUCUGGCAUUGCCACAAGCUGCAGUGUAGGUCACGGAUGCGUGUCGGAUCUGGCGUGGCUGUGGCUGUGGCGUAGACUGGUGGCUGCCGCUCUAAUUCAACCCCUCGACUGGGAACUUCCAUGUGCCUCCGGUGUGGCUGGAAAAAGGCAAACAGAGAAAGAAGCGGACAGAUAUGGCACUGCAGAGAAGGACCUGGAUUAUUGCUGUUGUAAUAACUCUGGGCAAUAUAAAAGAGGCGUAAUAGGGCCCACUAUUCCUUCCAGGGACAGUUGCUGUUACGACUCUGGGUGACAGUGAAGAGGACAGGGAUUUGGGGAAGUGAUGUCUGGGGCAGAACUAAGCGUCGGACGGGAGAGGGUUGCCCUUGACUGGUGGUGGUUACUCCAGGAUUAGCUUUUGUCGAUUAUGUGUUACAAAUACAAUCCACGCCCAUUGUAAAAACAUGCAAACAGCAGAAAUAUGUAAAAUAUGUGAAGCAAAAAGUGAUGGGCCGACUUCCUCCGAAGGGGGUCAGCCUGCUGGUGACCAGCCACCUGGAUCCGUUCCAGGCACGCACACGGAGGACAGUUUGUUUUAAUGAAAGUUAGAUCAUACU